Dalotia coriaria is the source of this 1846-nucleotide RNA transcript. It is a transcript of the gene named zinc finger protein 711-like, with no coding region annotated. The record is from RefSeq and is a predicted model, not a curated record. NCBI's taxonomy places the organism in Eukaryota, Metazoa, Arthropoda, Insecta, Coleoptera, Staphylinidae. The transcript is spliced from 4 exons.
UGCUACGGUUGAACGUUUCUGAUAACUCUGUUAGGUGGGUUAUACACUCGGUUUUUUUUCUUCUGUGGAAGUUGCAAUUUUUUUGAAAUUUUAGAUAUCUUUAAAUUAAGACGGUAAAUUAAGUAAGGUGGUAUAAGUAAUCGAUAUAGAUAUGAACAUAUACGAUUCGGAAAAUCCGUGUUUCAACUUUGAAGAUGAGAAACUUUGUGGAAUUUGUGGAAACAAACCACAAGUUACUCCUAUGGAUUCCAUGAAACAAAAUAUUUUUCCCGAUGUAUCCAUACCUAUAUAUAAAGUACUUGAAUCAAUUUCCAAGGUAUGAUAACAAUUGUUUUUGGUUAUAGUAAAUUAAACUGCAUAUUGAACUCUUAUUUGGAUAUUUGAGUAUUGCUUUCGAAUAGCCCACAUUAUUUUUAUCAUUUUUUAAGGGAGGCGCUUGUGGGAUGUAAAUGUUUCUUUUUUCAGUAUUUUUAUUUUUCUAAUGUCCGUACUUUGUGAAGAAUGAGCCGAUUAUAACAUUUUCUUUCUUUGAAUUUUACUUCAAAAGUACGCAUUUUAAUAAGUAUUAUUGAAGAAAAAUGUACAUCGUAGUUUUACGUAAUUUUCAACUCUUGUAUAAACAUUUUAUAUUAAAACUGAAAAUACGAUUUCAAUAUUUUUCAACUAUUUUUAUUGCAAACGUGUGCAUUAGUAUGUAGAAGUGUGUAGAAAAGAAAAUUUACAAGAAAAACUAUUCCCUAUGUUACAUAUUUAACAUUUAUUUUAUGAAUCCGCAGUUUUUACAAACAAAUAACUCAAAUUUUCAGUUUAAGUUUUCCAAUGAUGACCCAAGAUUUAUUUGCGACGCUUGUUGCAACAGAGCAAGGGAUGCAUUUGGAUUCCAACAGAUGUGCAAUAAGGCACAAUCUUUUUUUGAUACAUAUACCCUCGAUCAACAACAACUCCAGAAGAAGGGUCAUUCGGACACUGAAGAGACGAACGUUGACAUAAAAACCGGAAUUGAAUCAGAGACUGAAGCUCUCGACAAUAAACUUGUUGUGCAAUCAUCCAAACGAGUACAGAUAUAUCCUACGGAAAUAUGUAAAGUGUGCAAUAAAAGUUUCCAAUCCAAAAAUAUGAAAAAACACAUGCGUAGACAUUCCAUCAGGGUAUUCAAGUGUAACUAUUGCGAAAUUAAUUUUAGUUCACGAGCGAAAAGGAGAUGUCAUGUUAAAACAGUACACUAUCAAAUCGCACUCAUCAAGAAUAGACGCAAGUUCAAGUGUAGAUUCUGCCGCAAAAUCUUCUUUAGUAGGAAAUUGAAGAGCCAUCAUGAACAUCAAAAACAUUAUAGCGAUAAGGAAUAUAAGUGCAUAUACUGUGAAGCAAUAUUCUAUUCAGAAAAGAUGCAUACUAGGCAUCUUGCAAUGGUGCACAAUCGUUUGGCGUUUGUCUGCGAACUCUGCGAUAAGAGUUUCAAUUUUGAUGCCGAACUAAAGGUACACUUGAAAGUUCACGUCAACCCUAGGUCACACGAGUGCCAAGAGUGUGGUGAAAGUUUUACUCGAGCAUUGUACUUAAAAGAGCAUAUAGCAGCUUAUGAAGCAACCGGAAAUUGCCUUCGUGACUGAAUAUUAGCGAGAACAGCAGUGAUAGAUUAAUCAAAUGAUAGUUUUAAGUGUAAAGUUUUUCGGGAGUGUUGAAAAAUUCUUUGGAAUGUGAUAUUCCUUUUCCGCAUUUCAACUUUGCCACCAUGUACCUUGGCAACUCGUGCUGUCAUAUUGAAAACUGCUAAAUUAGCUCAACGCAAUGCAAAAAGUCAAAAAUUUAUGUUUCGACUAUAAAGUAUAAGUAGUAACAGAGUUAA